GUUGUAUGGUUAAGUGACUAAGCGUAUACGGUGGAUGCCUAGGCAGUUAGAGGCGAUGAAGGACGUGUAAGUCUGCGAAAAGCUGUGGUGAGCUGACAAAAAGCAUUUGAGCCACAGAUGUCCGAAUGGGGGAACCCACCGCUUCGGCGGUAUCGUUAACUGAAUACAUAGGUUAACGAAGCAAACGAGGGGAACUGAAACAUCUAAGUACCCUUAGGAAAAGAAAUCAACCGAGAUUCCCCAAGUAGCGGCGAGCGAACGGGGAGCAGCCGAGUAAUUAUGAGGUAGUGGAAUGUGUUGGAAAGCACAGCGAUACAGGGUGAUAGCCCCGUACACGAAGCAUCAUAGUUGCCAUAUUAAGUAGGUCGGGACACGUGUUAUCCUGACUGAAGAUGGGGGGACCAUCCUCCAAGGCUAAAUACUCCUAACUGACCGAUAGUGAACUAGUACCGUGAGGGAAAGGCGAAAAGAACCCCUGUGAGGGGAGUGAAAUAGAACCUGAAACCGUAUACGUACAAGCAGUAGGAGCCUGGAUUCUCUUCGGAGAUAGUAGGGUGACUGCGUACCUUUUGUAUAAUGGGUCAGCGACUUAUAUUUAGUAGCAAGGUUAACCGACUAGGGGAGCCGUAGCGAAAGCGAGUGUUAACUGCGCGUUGAGUUGCUAGGUAUAGACCCGAAACCCGGUGAUCUAGCCAUGGGCAGGUUGAAGGUUGAGUAACAUCAACUGGAGGACCGAACCGACUAACGUUGAAAAGUUAGCGGAUGACUUGUGGCUGGGGGUGAAAGGCCAAUCAAACCGGGAGAUAGCUGGUUCUCCCCGAAAUCUAUUUAGGUAGAGCCUCGGACGAACACCAUUGGGGGUAGAGCACUGUUAAGGCUAGGGGGUCAUCCCGACUUACCAACCCUUUGCAAACUCCGAAUACCGAUGAGUGCUAUCCGGGAGACACACGGCGGGUGCUAACGUCCGUCGUGAAGAGGGAAACAACCCAGACCGCCAGCUAAGGUCCCAAAAUAUUGCUAAGUGGGAAACGAGGUGGGAAGGCUAAGACAGCUAGGAGGUUGGCUUAGAAGCAGCCAUCCUUUAAAGAAAGCGUAAUAGCUCACUAGUCGAGUCGGCCUGCGCGGAAGAUGUAACGGGGCUAAGCAAUAUACCGAAGCUGCGGAUUUGAACUUCGGUUCAAGUGGUAGGGGAGCGUUGUGUAAGUGGCUGAAGGUGUUUCGAGAGGAAUGCUGGACAUAUCACAAGUGCGAAUGCUGACAUGAGUAACGAUAAUGGGGGUGAAAAACCCCCACGCCGGAAGACCAAGGUUUCCUGUCCCAUGCUAAUCAGGGCAGGGUAAGUCGGCCCCUAAGGCGAGGCGGAAACGCGUAGUCGAUGGGAAACGGAUUAAUAUUUCCGUACUUGUUAUAUCAGUGAAGGGGGGACGGAGAAGGUUAUGCUAGCUUGGCGUUGGUAGUCCAAGUGAAAGUGCGUAGGGUUGGUGUUUAGGAAAAUCCGGACACCACAUUUAAAAGAUGAGCCUGAGACACGAGACGAGACUCUACGGAGUUGAAGUAGCAAAUACCCUGCUUCCAGGAAAAGCCUCUAAACUUAUGAUAUAGCGAACCGUACCCCAAACCGACACAGGUGGUCAGGUAGAGAAUACUAAGGCGCUUGAGAGAACUCGGGUGAAGGAACUCGGCAAAAUUGUACCGUAACUUCGGGAGAAGGUACGCCCUUGCUUGUGUAGUGCUUCGCGCAUGAAGCAGGUGAGGGCCGCAGUGACCAGGAGGCUGGGACUGUUUAUUAAAAACACAGCACUGUGCUAAAUCGAAAGAUGACGUAUACGGUGUGACACCUGCCCGGUGCCGGAAGGUUAAUUGAUGGGGUUAGCGCAAGCGAAGCUCUUGAUCGAAGCCCCGGUAAACGGCGGCCGUAACUAUAACGGUCCUAAGGUAGCGAAAUUCCUUGUCGGGUAAGUUCCGACCUGCACGAAUGGUGUAACCAUGGCCUCGCUGUCUCCACCCGAGACUCAGUGAAAUUGAAAUUGCAGUGAAGAUGCUGUGUACCCGCACCUAGACGGAAAGACCCCGUGAACCUUUACUAUAGCUUGGCACUGAACAUUGACCCUACAUGUGUAGGAUAGGUGGGAGACUAUGAAGCAUUGUCGCCAGAUGAUGUGGAGUCUACCUUGAAAUACCACCCUUGUACGUUUGAUGUUCUAACAUUGCGCCCUGAUCGGGCGUGUGGACAGUGUCUGGUGGGUAGUUUGACUGGGGCGGUCUCCUCCCAAAGCGUAACGGAGGAGCACGAAGGUUGGCUAAUCCUGGUCGGACAUCAGGAGGUUAGUGCAAUGGCAUAAGCCAGCUUAACUGCGAGACAGACACGUCGAGCAGGUACGAAAGUAGGUCAUAGUGAUCCGGUGGUUCUGAAUGGAAGGGCCAUCGCUCAACGGAUAAAAGGUACUCCGGGGAUAACAGGCUGAUACCGCCCAAGAGUUCAUAUCGACGGCGGUGUUUGGCACCUCGAUGUCGGCUCAUCACAUCCUGGGGCUGAAGUCGGUCCCAAGGGUAUGGCUGUUCGCCAUUUAAAGUGGUACGCGAGCUGGGUUUAGAACGUCGUGAGACAGUUCGGUCCCUAUCUGGUGUGGGCGUUGGAUGAUUGAUGGGAGCUGCUCCUAGUACGAGAGGACCGGAGUGGACGAACCGCUGGUGUUCGGGUUGUCAUGCCAAUGGCAUUGCCCGGUAGCUACGUUCGGAAUCGAUAACCGCUGAAAGCAUCUAAGCGGGAAGCGAGCCCAGAGAUGAGUCAUCCCAGACAGUUUAACUGUCCUGAAGGGCUGUUGUAGACUACAACGUUGAUAGGCAGGGUGUGGAAGCGUCGUAAGGCGUUAAGCUAACCUGUACUAAUUGCCCGUGCGGCUUAACCAUACAACACCAAAG
This 2922-nucleotide ribosomal RNA is filed under the name Glaciecola sp. 33A. Its description in RNAcentral is "bacterial LSU rRNA". It matches the Rfam family "Bacterial large subunit ribosomal RNA". Lineage: Bacteria; Pseudomonadati; Pseudomonadota; Gammaproteobacteria; Alteromonadales; Alteromonadaceae. The record is from RNAcentral.